AUUGAACGCUGGCGGCAGGCCUAACACAUGCAAGUCGAACGAGUGGCGGACGGGUGAGUAAUGUCUGGGAAACUGCCCGAUGGAGGGGGAUAACUCAUGGCAACGGUAGCUAAUACCGCGUACCAUCCGAUUUGCCCAGAUGGGAUUAGCUUGUAGGUGAGGGAACGGCUCACCUAGGCGACGAGCCCUAGCUGGUCUGAGAGGAUGACCAGCAACACUGGAACUGAGACACGGUCGAGACUCCUACGGGAGGCAGCAGUGGGGAAUAUUGCACAAUGGGCGCAAGACUGAGGCAGCCAUGCCGCGGGUAUGAAGAAGGCCUUCGGGUUGUAAAGUACUGUCAGCGGGGAGGCGUUACCAGCAGAAGAAGCACAGGCUAACUCCGUGCCAGCAGCCGCGGUAAUAC
Molecule: ribosomal RNA, 406 nt
Filed under: uncultured bacterium
Lineage: Bacteria
Description: partial 16S ribosomal RNA
Rfam family: Bacterial small subunit ribosomal RNA
Source: RNAcentral